This 143-nucleotide microRNA precursor is filed under the name Gossypium arboreum. RNAcentral's name for it is "MIR7502 microRNA precursor family". It matches the Rfam family "MIR7502 microRNA precursor family". The record is from Rfam by way of RNAcentral. Lineage: Eukaryota; Viridiplantae; Streptophyta; Magnoliopsida; Malvales; Malvaceae.
UAUUAAAAAUUUUAUCUAUUUGUAUUAUUAAACUGACGUGGUUAACAGAAUAACCAGACAAUAUUACAUAACGUCCCAUAUGUGUCUCGUGCUAACAUACAUAGGUUGAUUUUUAACAGUGAAAAUGAAUGAAAUUUUUAAUA